GGGGGGGGGGGGGGGGGGGGCUAAGAGAGGCAGGGCGAGCGGGGGGGCGCGACGGGUGGUUCUCGGAUGUUAGCGGCGGACGGGGGGGUAACACGUGGAUACCCUACCUAUAAGACUGGGAUAACUUCGGGAAACCGGAGCUAAUACCUGAUAAUAUUUUUAACCGCAUGGUUCCAACGUGCAGGACGGUCUUGCUGUCACUUCUAGAUGGAGCCGCGCUGCAUUAGCUAGUUGGUAAGGUAACGGCUUAACAAGGCAACGAUGCAUAGCCGACCUGAGAGGGUGAUCGGCCACACUGGAACUGAGACACGGUCCAGACUCCUACGGGAGGCAGCAGUAGGGAAUCUUCCGCAAUGGGCGAAAGCCUGACGGAGCAACGCCGCGUGAGUGAUGAAGGUCUUCGGAUCGUAAAACUCUGUUAUUAGGGAAGAACAUAUGUGUAAGUAACUGGGCACAUCUUGACGGUACCUAAUCAGAAAGCCACGGCUAACUACGUG
This 497-nucleotide ribosomal RNA is filed under the name uncultured bacterium. RNAcentral describes it as "partial 16S ribosomal RNA". It matches the Rfam family "Bacterial small subunit ribosomal RNA", at positions 38 to 507 of the family's 1533-position model. The record is from RNAcentral.